This 29-nucleotide non-coding RNA is filed under the name Homo sapiens (human). Lineage: Eukaryota; Metazoa; Chordata; Mammalia; Primates; Hominidae. The record is from RNAcentral.
UUUCCGCUGAUGACUUAUGAUGGUCUGUU